Molecule: ribosomal RNA, 442 nt
Filed under: uncultured bacterium
Lineage: Bacteria
Description: partial 16S ribosomal RNA
Rfam family: Bacterial small subunit ribosomal RNA
Source: RNAcentral
CCUACGGGAGGCUGCAGUGGGGAAUAUUGGGCAAUGGGCGCAAGCCUGACCCAGCAACGCAGCGUGAAGGAAGAAGGCUUUCGGGUUGUAAACUUCUUUUAAGGGGGAAGAGGAGAAGACGGUACCCCUUGAAUAAGCCACGGCUAACUACGUGCCAGCAGCCGCGGUAAUACGUAGGUGGCAAGCGUUGUCCGGAUUUACUGGGUGUAAAGGGCGUGCAGCCGGGAGGACAAGUCAGAUGUGAAAUCCCGCGGCUCAACCGCGGAACUGCAUUUGAAACUGGUUUUCUUGAGUACCGGAGAGGUCAUCGGAAUGCCUUGUGUAGCGGUGAAAUGCGUAGAUAUAAGGAAGAACACCAGUGGCGAAGGCAGAUGACUGGACGGCAACUGACGGUGAGGCGCGAAAGCGUGGGGAGCAAACAGGAUUAGAUACCCGUGUAGUC